Cinara cedri is the source of this 212-nucleotide non-coding RNA. The record is from the annotation of a GenBank genome assembly. Lineage: Eukaryota; Metazoa; Arthropoda; Insecta; Hemiptera; Aphididae.
AAGUUUUUUUCGCAACCUAUAGUUCAAACUAAAAGUAUUUAAAAAUACAGAAUCUAUCUAUAAGAAUACGUGGUUAAAAGUUCUAAAAAUCUGUAUAAAUCUGCAAAAACUGCAUAAUUAAAUAUAAAUAAAAAACGGUGGUCAUACUUGGUGCAUUUGUAAUCACCUUAUAAUAUAUAAUAAUAGUCUAAUAGUAUUUUCCGUUAAACACU